RNAcentral lists this unclassified non-coding RNA (395 nucleotides) under soil metagenome. RNAcentral's name for it is "partial contains 5.8S ribosomal RNA, internal transcribed spacer 2, and large subunit ribosomal RNA". The stretch from base 1 to 122 matches the Rfam family "5.8S ribosomal RNA", at positions 35 to 154 of the family's 154-position model. The record is from RNAcentral.
GAUGAAGAACGCAGCGAAAUGCGAUACUUGGUGUGAAUAGCAGAAUCCCGUGAACCAUCGAGUCUUUGAACGCAAGUUGCGCCCGAAGCCAUCAGGUUGAGGGCACGUCUGCCUGGGCGUCACAUAUCGUUGCCCAAUGCCUAUUGCAGUGCAAUAGGAAUUUCUAGGGCGAAUGAUGGCUUCCCGUGAGCGUUGUUGCCUCGCGGUUGGUUGAAAAUCGAGUCCUUGGUAGGGUGUGCCAUGGUAGAUGGUGGUCGAGUUAGAACGAUACCGAUCAUGUGCAUGCUCCCCAAAAUAUGGCCUCUAUGACCCACACGCGUCUUUUGACGCUCAUGACGAGACCUCAGGUCAGGCGGGGCUACCCGCUGAAUUUAAGCAUAUCAAUAAGCGGAGGA